Molecule: long non-coding RNA, 4909 nt
Filed under: Lynx pardinus (Iberian lynx)
Lineage: Eukaryota; Metazoa; Chordata; Mammalia; Carnivora; Felidae
Source: RNAcentral
UGACCUUGGGAGUCAGAGGCAGGGGGGCACGAAUGGAGGGUAAUGUGGACAAGAACAUUCCAGAAGAGGGAAGAGUUUCAUGGGCUCUGGAGCCUCCACGUGGAUUCAAAUCCUGACCUUGAUGCGUACAAGCUGUGUGAUUCUGAGUCAGUGACUUUGCUUCUCUGUGCCUCAGUUUUUCCAUCUAUAAAAUGUGAAUAACAAAUGUUAGUACUUCAUUCAUUCAUUCAUUCAUUCAUUCAUUUUCUUUCUCGCUUAACAGACACUUGUUGAGUGUCUGUUCUGGGCCCAGGAUCAGAGGCUGAGAUGGAACUGACCAUCACGGUCACACACGCGAGCAAGCCCUGUAGCCGAGAUGGAACCCAGGUUUGGAGACCACAGGUUCCGUUCGUGAUUCCCUGCAGUCUCCCUCCCAGGCUGUGGUGAGACCAGAGGAGGUGCAGUUACACACGGAGGAAACACUUACUAAGCAGGAGAUGCUGCCAGUCCUCCUGAGGUGUCGUCAUCAUCAGGUAGCCUGUGCUGACCGAGCACAAGGUCUUGGAGAAUGUCCCUACCCCCUCUGAGCCUCGGUUUCCUUUAGGGCGAACAACCAUCUUGGUUUGCCUAAGAAUGAGGAUUUCCCCAGGAUGCGGUGCUUUCCCUGCUAAAACUAGGACAGUCCCAGGCAAACGGGGAUGGUCGGUCACCCUAGUUCCCUCACCUGGGACAUGGGGAACCGCCCGCCUCCCAGGGCUGUUGUGCACAACAGAAGUAAGCACAGGGGAAAGGCAGAAAACCAUGGGAGUAGAAUUCUAGAUCGAUUACAUGAAUAUUAAAGACUUCCAUGUGCCAUGGAAAUCCAGUCAUGAAAAAGAAUGAGCCAGCUCGCGUGUACCGCAAUGGAAGAAGCUCUAAGAUACAUAUUUUUAGUGAAAAGGGCAAGGUACAGAACGUUUUGUCUGGAGACCUUCCACUAGUAUCAGAGGAGGGGUGUGAAUGGACACACACAUGUUCAUGUGCGUGGAUUCUCUGGGGAGGGAGCUGGGUGGCUGGGAGAGAAGGUGAGGAAAAGAUCAGCUUUUCACUAUAUAUCCUUUUGUGUUGUUGGAAGGCUUUUAACCUUUUGUUGUCCUCAUCAGGUUGAAAAACCUCCUCAACUUCUGUGUGUCCAAAAAAAAAAAAAAACAACCCAAAAUUAAAAUAAAAAAGAACGAUUCUAAACAAUUGUUGGAAGGCCAAAGAUACACAGCAGGAAAAGCGUUUAGCUCAGGGUCCAGCACCCAGGAUGUACAUGAAUGGCCUUCUCCCCUCUCCCACCCAUGGCCUCGUUGGCUGCGGGUCUGUGUAAGCGAGGGGCACAGUGUUCAUCCGGCUCAGGUGCAAGCACAGUCUGGGAACACACAGUCUGGGAACCACAGGCCUGGGGCUCACGGGACACUCACCCGCUUCUGUGCCUACAUGUUCCGAGGUGGCCAUCUGCCAGGUUCCAGGGCUCUCCCUGCAUCUUGGGGUGGAAGUGAGCCCAUCUUGCGGGGUAAGUGCUCAGCGUUCACAUACUUCCAGACUUCCCAGACUAGGAAACCUGCAUGUGCUGCUGCUGCCACCAAAGCCAGUUCUCUCUGCCUCUGGCCUUGGGGAGAAAGAGCCACAGCUGGUGUAGGAAGGAGCUCCAGGCUCAGCCUGAGACUACCCAGCGGGCCUGACCCCCACAGAGCAGCCUCCCGUGAGAUCCCGGCCCAGCCCUGCCUCGAGAUGCCAGACACGUGGCCAGGCUCUUUUCUUUUUUAAUUUUUGCGUUAUGCACAUAUUUCAGGGAAACGUUCUCCUUGCAAUAUCUCAAGCAUUAACAAAAUGUAGCAGACAAAAACCGGAGUAAUUCCCCUGAAUUUCCUGAGCCUCAUUCCCCUCAAACAUUAUUGCCUGUUAGUGGGUAUGCCCUUGAACGUUUUGCUAUCCUGUGUAUAUGUCUGUAUCUUUCCCUCUGUAUGUACAUUUCCAUCUGCGGGUGUGACUAUACCUUCGUCUAUAUCUGCAUCAACUGUAUCUAUAACUAUGGAUGUAGAGGUGUGUGUGCUUCUCACAUAAGUGGUAACGUUCUGCAUGUUCUGUUCUGCAAGGUGCCUCAUUUUUCACUGAAUAUCAUAUGGGCAUUGUUCUGGGUCCGCACACAUACAACCGCCUGCUUUUUAACAGCUGAGCACUAUUCCACCAUGUGAGCUGGCCCGUCAUUUCUUGUCCAGUCCCCUAUUGAACAUUUAAAUGAUUUCUAUUGUUUUGCUUCCACAAACGGCCCUGGGCAGGCCUCAUUGUGCAUGGAGCAAUUUCUCUGGGAUAGGUAGCUGGCUAACCUCCCAGCACUACUGAAGACACUGGGUACCCCAUCUGUGACGAGUACUAAAAAAUCGCAGCCCGGGGAAGCCAGAGAGCAAAGCCACACUCCCACACAGGGCAUAGACUGCCUGCUUCUGUGCACAUCACUGGCACUCAGCUGCCCAGUGUAUCACAUUUUUGUAUCAGACCAUCUCUCCCCAGCAUGAUCCUUACCUCCCAAGCCUCCAAUCACUCUAUUGGGAUGGCUUUGAAACCUGGAUUACAGGGAACUUUCCAGCCAUCUUGGUUUGUCCUGCUAGUGAGUGACCUCCUGCCUGGGGUGAUUUCAGGGAAAACGGAGGAAUCUCCCAGCCUCCAAAUUUCUCCCAUAUCUAAAGGAAGAGGAAGUUUGGUGAAGUCCCUGCCCCUUUUGGGAGCUCUUUUUCCUAAGGCUUCCGCCACACGGGCAGUGUGGAACAAAGAAGGGCAGGCUUGGGAGGUGGAAAGCAUAGCAGGAACCAAAAGAGAUAGAACCGUAAUAAUGGCCUGUUCCUUACAAAGUACCUGCAGUGCCCCUGACCCCACACCAAGCCUGAGGCACUCCCUGCACUGGGUGCUGUAAUUGCCCCCACCUUGUAAGUGAGGGAGCCGUGGCUCAGAGGGAGGGGAAGCAGGAUCUGAACUCAGGCCUAUACAGCCUCAAAGCCCAGGCCCUGUAAUGGCAAGGAGCUAAAAAUGUGUGCCAGGAGGUAGUGCUGACUCCCCAGGGAGCCCAAGAUACACGAAGGCUGGAAAAGCGUGUGUGUGUGUCUUGGUGAGGAAAGGGAUCUGAGAGACGAGUGGGAUUUGGGGAGCAAGGGAAGCACCUUCCGGGGUCGGCGGAACAGCCUGAACAAAAGCCCAAGGUUGGGGUGAACCUGGCAUGUUGAUGGGAGAAGGGUCUGGUCUGGGUCUGGGUGUGAGACGCAAAGCUGGAAGCGGCGGAGGGGGGCGGGGAGGGGCCCUGCACUGCCUGCCAUGAAUGCCAGGCAGGGAGCUGGCUUGCAGCUAAUCACCACUGCCGUUAUUAUCUACAGUCAGUGACAUGAACACAGCUGCCAUCACCCCGGCCUUCCACACGUGUCAGCGCACCCUUCCAACAACUUCAGGACAUGGCCGCCACGACGUCCGUUUUGCAGACGAGGAACUGACAAUGGAGCACCAAGGGGGCCGGAUCACGGCUGCUGACCCACCCCGGUAUGCCCUGUGCCCAGCCCUGGGACUGCCCUCCAGGACGAGAGGGACAGAGGGAGGAGGAAGGCAGACGGAGGGAUGAGGGCGUGGGGCGCCCCACCGCGCACCGUCACGGCCCCUUGCACCCUCUGGGUUUCUGAAGAUGGCGGGUGCUGGCUGUGGUGUGGCCUUCCUCAGCCCUCCUGACCCGAGCCGCUUUACCCCAGUGACCUGCGACUCCCAGGGCUGCUAUUAGCCGCGAGCUUGGCCCGGAACCCUUCCUUCUGAAUUUACAUCCACAGUUCUUUGUCUCACAUUCCAAACGCACCCCACUGUUGGAUGGCUGCACCCCACAGAGCUCUGGGAAUACAUGGGACUUACCCACCCGGCUCCAGCCACUCCAUGAUCUGGGAAACAGCAGGCUCUUUGGGUCUGGUCCUGGCCAGAGCCUCAGUUUCCCCGUGUGUAAGACAGAAGUGGUCACUGUCAGACUGGAUAAUUGCUAUGGGUAUUUAUGCUUGUCUUGGGCCCCUGCUCCUCUGGCUUCUGGUCUCAGAAGACAUGUUGGCAAAGGGAGUGGAUUGUGGCCCCACCUCAGACCCUUGCUAGCCUCUGUCUCAGGAGGACAGAGCCGCCCUGGACCGGGGGUCAGCCAUGAGUUCAAGCUCUGCUCCUGACACUUUCUAGCUGCAGCCUGAGUGAGCGUGUCUGGUACCCACCACUUAUCGGGCACCUGACAUCACAAUCCCUCCCUCUUUCCCUGCCUGGGCAGGUCAGGUCGCCUCUCCGGGCCUCAGUCUCUGGACGCCUGCGAUGGCUGUUUCUCCCACCCAGCCCAGCACCAGGGCUGUUCGAAUGAAGCCAGUGUAAGAUGCUGGAUGGGGAAGAGCUUUGCGGAUGGAAAACUUGCCCCAUUGGGAAGAUUUAUUGCCGUGACUGUAAGUGUGAGGGCCAAAGGCCAUCGGGGCCGGACGGCCCCUGCCCAGAAGGCUGUGCUGGAGCCCAGGCCGCUUUCCCUCCAUCUGUGGUGAAGGAGCAGAUGACCUUCUCCCCGGGGCCCCAACGUGUGGUGACAUGCCAGGGCUGGGCUCCCUCUCGACCAACAUUUUGCCUCUUAUUUUGGAAUGCCCACCUCCCCUGCAGGGCCCUGGUCAGCACCUAGAUGACCCAAGUCUGGGGGGCGGGAUACACAGGCAGCCCAAACCCCUGGACAAACACAGAGACGCAGACCAACCCCUUGCUCCCUCUCAGCCCCCAAGUCCCGUCUGGUCUUCCUGUUCUCCUCGAACCCAUUAUUCCUGGGGGUCCUUGCCUUACCGGUGGCCCCUGCCAGCUUCCCCACCGCCCUCAUGGCCCCUCCAUUUCCUCUCUUGCCACCAGAGACCUUUGGAAAUCAAGGAUUCCG